UACAGAGGGGGCAAGCGUUGUUCGGAAUUACUGGGCGUAAAGGGCGCGUAGGCGGCCUUCUAAGUCGAACGUGAAAUCCCCGGGCUCAACCCGGGAACUGCGUCCGAUACUGGAAGGCUUGAAUCCGGGAGAGGGAUGCGGAAUUCCAGGUGUAGCGGUGAAAUGCGUAGAUAUCAGGAGGAACACCGGUGGUGUAGACGGCUUUCUGGACCGACACUGACGCUGAGGCACGAAAGCUAGGGGAGCAAACAGG
Molecule: ribosomal RNA, 253 nt
Filed under: uncultured bacterium
Lineage: Bacteria
Description: partial 16S ribosomal RNA
Rfam family: Bacterial small subunit ribosomal RNA
Source: RNAcentral